RNAcentral lists this ribosomal RNA (113 nucleotides) under Diaphorina citri (Asian citrus psyllid). The record is from RNAcentral. Lineage: Eukaryota; Metazoa; Arthropoda; Insecta; Hemiptera; Psyllidae.
AUAGUUGGCUUCCUUGAAAGCACCAGUUCCGCAUAGAUCACUGAAGUUGAGCACGGUUGCGCGUGGUUAGUACCUGGAUGGGUGACCAUCUGGCCAAUUGGCGUUCAAAUAUU